GGACGCCCGGCUGGCUGCCCGGCUGGCUGCCCGCCCGGCCCUGCGGCGCCGACGGCGACAGGGACAGCGACAGUCCCCCCCAGCAGCACAGAGCCACCAGGGGCCACAUGGCGUGGCGGCGGGCGCGGGAGGCGCCGGCAGCUGCGGGAGAAGAGCUGCUGGUGGCCCCCUGACGCCCCACCUCUUCCCUACUCGGAGCCGCGUCCGGCCUGCCUCUCUGUCUCCCCACCGGCCUCCCCGCAGGGAGGAUGCGCUUGCGGGUGGGAGGUUUGAAGGGUCCAUAUGCUCUGGUCUCGCUCCUGGCUCUGUCACAGUCUCCCUCUCUCGUUCAAGGGCACACUUCAGCAGCCUGAGGACUCAGUUUUUCAACUUUCAAGAGGCUCCAAAGCAUCCAAGAAGUGGCCUUCACAAACAUGACUGGAAACUACUUUUCUGAAUGAGUUGUGCAAUUUCAUAAUUUCCGGAGGUAAUGAAGUUUUAAGGAGUAAGAGGAAGAAGGUUGGGGCAUGUAGAGCAGUUCUUCCCAAUUGCAACUGAAACUCACAAGCAGGAGAAGUGUGAUUUUUCUCUGUGGUUAAAGAAAGGACUCCCAUUUCGAGGCAUACAGCUACCUUAUUAAAAUUCACACAACUUCUAGUAUUGCAUAUGAAUAUGAAGUAUUUUGGAUGUGCAUUUAUGUUACUAUGAUGAAAAUGCUGCUCUCAGACAAGAAAUUAUCUACAGCUUGGUGGAGACAGUUGGAAAGAGGUGUGAUGGUGUCCUGGUUGGAGAGUUGUGAGUGCCUUUGCCUGGGGAAGUUAUGUGGAUGUGGAUGUGGAUGGCCUACGCACGUCAUCAUGGUUUUGUUCCUGGUGAUGAACACCUUUUUGUGGAUAUAACACCUUCUCUUCUUGUAUACUUUUGCUGUUGUUAUGGCGCAUGUCUUAUUUCACUCUUUUGUGCUUUCUAUAAAUCAUUACCUCAACCCA
This is a non-coding RNA of Lonchura striata (white-rumped munia), 968 nucleotides long. Lineage: Eukaryota; Metazoa; Chordata; Aves; Passeriformes; Estrildidae. The record is from RefSeq and is a predicted model, not a curated record.